Molecule: long non-coding RNA, 1530 nt
Filed under: Felis catus (domestic cat)
Lineage: Eukaryota; Metazoa; Chordata; Mammalia; Carnivora; Felidae
Description: lncRNA (ENSFCAG00000052585.1)
Source: RNAcentral
AUGUGGACAUUCCAAAGAAUAUUUGAUGAUGUUUUUAAAAGCCUUCAAGCUACAAGGUGGACAUUGGGAAUAAUGGGGAUGCUGCUAACAGAGAAUGAUGAACUUAGGAGACUCGUGAGAAGGUGUAUAGAAGGAGGCAUACAUCCUGCAAGGAGAUCUCACAAAAAGGAAAACCACAAGAGAAGUUGUAGAGAUGGCUGGAGCUGCACCACGGAGGCCCUGGUUCAUCAUUUUUUAGUGUUUAGACUUUGCCGGGAGCCUGAAUAUGAUGCUCAAGUGACACAGGCAUUGACUACAAGUUGGACAAAAUGGCCUUUUAGUUUAUUCCAGGCCUGAGACUCUGAGUUUAUAAUUCUCCGGCUGGGGGGAAGUAAACUUUACUCACCAAUGCCUGUGCUGAUCAGAUAACCUCAAAGCCCAGACACACUGCAUAAUUCUCCGACAGCAAUAACUCAGCUGGCAGUUCCCAGGCAGAGAUGUGGGAGAAAGUCCAAUAUCCGGGAAGCGCUAGGAUCUACAACUUCCUGUGGUCUGCCUAGUGAAAUUUGACCAGAUAAGAACAGUUAAUAAGAAGCUCUCGAGAUAGAAAAGCUCCUUUUAUUUCUGAAUGCGGGUAUAUUGAUGUUAAAUACCUGAAUGCAUGAAGUUAAUUUGAAUAAUCUUCUAUUGUUGCAAGAAAUAUGGAAAAGUAUUCAGGAAAACUAGAAAAAUUCUUCAUACUUGUGGCAUGAACCGAAAGAAGUCUUUCACUAUUUUGACAAAUGAUGACUCUACUGUUUUGUGUGAGGGUAGAAGCUUUUAAGGACUGGACCCCAAGGCACCCCAUUGUGGUGCCUAGGAAAAGAUCAAACCUCAUAUUCUGGACCUUCCUUCUAUAACACUUUGCAAGUCAUGCCAGAUUCCCAUCAAGGCUGAACAAUUUGCCUUGAGGCCCCCAAAUAUUUCCAAAUGUAGUUAAUGGCUUCAAAAAGAAAACAAGCAUUGCAAUGAAAGCACUUAAUGUCUAUCAAUUCAAUUGCCAAGAAGUUCUUCUCUUUUGAAUACUCAAAGGACAGGAUCCCUGGGCAAUGACUUAUUGUUUCCCUUGCCUGCACUGCAAUGAUUACAGAGACUGUCCAGGUAAAUAUUGUGAUACCUAGAUUCUGCUAGUGAUCUCUCCCUUUAUUUUCUUGAAACAAUUUUAUAACUGUGAUCAUAUUCCCCCUUUUCUCCUGUCAUCAUGUGGGGAUAAACUUACUAUAAAAUGUCAGAAGCUGCAUUCAUGGCUCAAAAUCCCUUGGUAAACAAAACCGAGCUAUGGGCCUCAUAAAGAUUUAGCAAGAAAGCAGCAUAGCUUAGUAUUUGAGUGAGAGGUCUGUUGUCAGGCGGAUCCUGAAUUAAAUCCCCACAUCUGCCACUUACUAAUUGUGUCAUUUCUGUGCAUCUCGGUUUCUUCAUCUGGAAAAUGGAUAUGAUAAUAGUCAUACUUAUCUCAUAGGAUUGCUUUAGGGGUAAAAUAAAACAAAGCACAGCAGUGCCUGAUUAAAAUAU